Molecule: ribosomal RNA, 253 nt
Filed under: uncultured bacterium
Lineage: Bacteria
Description: partial 16S ribosomal RNA
Rfam family: Bacterial small subunit ribosomal RNA
Source: RNAcentral
UACGUAGGGGGCGAGCGUUGUCCGGAAUUAUUGGGCGUAAAGAGCGUGUAGGCUGUUCGGUAAGUCUGCCGUGAAAACCUGAGGCUCAACCUCGGGCGUGCGGUGGAUACUGUCAAGCUCGAGUCCGGAAGAGGCGAGUGGAAUUCCUGGUGUAGCGGUGAAAUGCGCAGAUAUCAGGAGGAACACCAAUGGCGAAGGCAGCUCGCUGGGACGGUACUGACGCUGAGACGCGAAAGCGUGGGGAGCGAACAGG